CCUACGGGGUGCAGCAGUGGGGAAUAUUGCACAAUGGGCGCAAGCCUGAUGCAGCCAUGCCGCGUGUAUGAAGAAGGCCUUCGGGUUGUAAAGUACUCUCAGCGAGGAGGAAGGCGUUAAGGUUAAUAACCUUGGCGAUUGACGUUACUCGCAGAAGAAGCACCGGCUAACUCCGUGCCAGCAGCCGCGGUAAUACGGAGGGUGCAAGCGUUAAUCGGAAUUACUGGGCGUAACGCGCACGCAGGCGGUCUGUCAAGUCGGAUGUGAAAUCCCCGGGCUCAACCUGGGAACUGCAUUCGAAACUGGCAGGCUAGAGUCUUGUAGAGGGGGGUAGAAUUCCAGGUGUAGCGGUGAAAUGCGUAGAGAUCUGGAGGAAUACCGGUGGCGAAGGCGGCCCCCUGGUCAAAGACUGACGCUCAGGUGCGAAAGCGUGGGGAGCAAACAGGAUUAGAUACCCCUGUAGUC
Molecule: ribosomal RNA, 465 nt
Filed under: uncultured bacterium
Lineage: Bacteria
Description: bacterial SSU rRNA
Rfam family: Bacterial small subunit ribosomal RNA
Source: RNAcentral